GGCGACAGAGCGGAAGAUAGGUAGAGUGAAUGGAAGAGAGAGAGACACCUUUCGUCUUAAAAUUUGGCAAACUCGCUCGCGUGAUUGACACCCUUCUAUUUCGCUUCCUUUCCUUUCCCCUCCUCUUAUUUUCCUUUUCUUCUCAGUUUCCACUGUUAUUCAUAAUAUUAUAAUAACAAUAAUCACUUUGGUUAAUACAAGCUCCAGAUUAGGGUUUCAGUUAUUCAUCCGCCUUCCUCUCCUAAAAAAAAAAUAAUAAAACUAAACCGCUUUCGUUUUCUUUCGAAUUAAUUAACAUCAUUCUUUAUGUCUAAAAGGUUACUAUGCAAGUUCUUUGCUCAUGGGGCGUGUUUGAAAGGGGAACAUUGUGAAUUUUCACAUGACUGGAAAGAUCCUCCAAAUAAUAUUUGUACAUUUUAUCAAAAAGGUAUCUGUGUGUAUGGCAGUCGAUGCCGAUAUGAUCAUGUUAAACCUUCUAGGCCUGAAUCUACUGCGUCGUCUUCUUUGACAGUUCUGGCCUCAACUUCUGUUUCCUUGGCCCUUCCUGCAAGAACUGUAUCAAGUGGGGUGAGGACAGUGCUGGCGGUUCCUCCAGAGCUUUCAGCUUCAAGUAGACCCUUUAUUGCUCCCAGUACGCCAGCAUGGGAUUUGGCGUCUGUGCAACUUGACUUCUUAGAAGAUGGUGAUGGUGAGGUUAUACAGCCUAGGAAUGUUAAACCAGCUGAUCGAUCUCUUUGUUCAUUUGCUGCUGCUGGUAGCUGUCCUCGUGGAGAUAAAUGUCCUCAUAUUCAUGGUGACCUAUGUGCCUAUUGUGGAAAGCAUUGUUUGCAUCCUUUCAGACCUGAUGAAAGAAAUGAGCAUUUGAAAGCAUGUGAGAAGAAGCAAAAGAACCUUGACUUAUUAAAAUAUAGUCAAGAAAUAGAGUGCAGUGUAUGCUUGGAUCGUGUACUUUCAAAGCUCACAGCAGCUGAGCGGAAGUUUGGACUGCUAUCAGAAUGCAAUCAUCCAUUCUGCAUAUCAUGUAUCAGGAAUUGGCGUGGCAGUUCCCCAACCUCUGGAAUGGAUGUUAAUUCUUCAUUGAGGGCUUGCCCAAUAUGUCGCAAGCUUUCAUACUUUGUUAUCCCAAGUGUCAUUUGGUAUUCCACUAAAGAGGAAAAACAGGAAAUAGUGGAUACCUACAAGGAAAAACUCAGGUCGAUAGAUUGCAAACACUUUGACUUUGGGAAUGGGAACUGCCCAUUUGGAACCAGCUGCUUUUACAAGCAUGCGUAUCGAGAUGGCCGCUUGGAGGAAGUGGUUUUACGUCAUCUUGGAGCUGAAGAUGGACAGGGUGUGAUAGCUAAAAAUAUCAGGCUGUCUGAUUUCCUUGGUGGCUUGCAAAUAAGGUGAACUGGUGGUGUUCAAAUAUUUAAAUGAUAUCUAUCAAUGCGAAGAAAUUUAUUCAACUUUAUUGUGGAAGGUCUUCAAUCUUCGGUGCCAAACCCAGUUGUUUGCAAGGAUGGCUUUCUGGAGGAGAUUCGAUUUCGGGAAGCUGAAAGGUGUGCAGGUGUGUUAUAAUAAGCUGCCUCUUGAGUUAUUUUGAAAUAAUAUCAUGAAGAACAUGCCAAGGCGUGAAAAAAUAUACCAAGAGGUGAUAAAUUAUGUACUUGUCAAGGAAAAGGAUUUGAGUAAUGGAUGUUUGCGAUUAGAAUUUGCUUCCCUCACACCGCAAAGGACAGUGAAAACUACUGGGUUUUGCCCUAAUGGUUUGUAAUAAUUUGAAGUUUUGAUGGCAAUGUCAUGAUGCGGUGUUGCAUCAUGCUGGAGUGGCCUCUGUAUAAAAGUUUUGAACUUUUGAGGUAUACAUGAGAUUUAAUACAAUGUAGCUCAUUUGUAUCAA
This is an RNA transcript of Populus trichocarpa (black cottonwood), 1879 nucleotides long. It is a transcript of the gene named E3 ubiquitin-protein ligase makorin, with no coding region annotated. Lineage: Eukaryota; Viridiplantae; Streptophyta; Magnoliopsida; Malpighiales; Salicaceae. The transcript is spliced from 8 exons. The record is from RefSeq and is a predicted model, not a curated record.